CAAUGAAUUCUUUAUUGCUGCUGUAGAUUGUUCAGUUAACUAAAUUUCUGUGGCCCAAUUGUUUUUCAGUCAAACCAUCUGGACCUGGUGUAUGCAGGAGACAACUCUGGGUAGCCACCAGCAUACUUGAUCCUAGGGCUACCCUGCUUAGAAGAAAGCUGAAACAGACUCAGCAAUGCUUUGCUGUCUUGGCUUUCAGGGUUGUUGACUCAGCUGACUUCCUAGAUGCUUGUUUUAACCCACCCUUCCCACCAGAACUCCCUGUCUUGGUGCUUCACUGACAAGAGUUAAUAGUAAGGAAGACCCCCUUAAUUAAAUCAUAUAAAGGCAUUGAGUGGUUCUAUGCCUUUCAAGAACUUCAUCUCAAGACAGUUCCCUGUAUCAGGUGGCCAAGUGAAAAGAUACAUCAGCACUAGACGAUUUUCUUAACUUGGAAAAAUGUUAAUUAUCUCAGAGGCAUGAUUUUCUUUUGUCUUUUCAGAUGACUACUGUUCAAUCUGUCACCCCAAGAGUCUAAAAAAAACUCAUAUCCUGAACACACACACACACACACGUGAUGAUGCAUCAUUAUUAAU
RNAcentral lists this long non-coding RNA (575 nucleotides) under Bos indicus x Bos taurus (hybrid cattle). Its description in RNAcentral is "lncRNA (ENSBIXG00005024678.1)". The record is from RNAcentral. Lineage: Eukaryota; Metazoa; Chordata; Mammalia; Artiodactyla; Bovidae.